UUUAACUGCAGGAUGGCUAUGCUAUACAAAGCUUUAAGUGAGGAAUGGCUGCACAAAAGAGUCAAUUUUUUUUCAACACAUAAAUUUUGCAUUUGGUAUAAUUUCUCUCAUUAAAAUGUUUUUGUUCUUUUCUGCGGAGUGAGUAUAUUAGAUAAACCUUUUUAUUAGUUUGUUUAUAUUUGGGGUUUGCUUGAUUUCCAUAUUUAAUGUUUUCAACAUUUAUUUGUUUUGACUUUAUAAGAUCUUUUUAUCUCACACACAUAUACACUCAUACAUAUAAAUAUAUAUUGUUAAUAUUUUCCUUCUGUUUUUCAGACAUCGUGCAUUAGUUUCAAUCGCAGCCCAAACUCUGCAAGAUUUCAGUCAAGUGUAUUUGGCUCUGCUGUUCCAAGCGGAUCAUCUGUUUUACAGGGAUGCAAUGUCAAGAGAGUCCUACCCAUUAAAGCAACGACCACUAAAUUGCCACCAACUGUUCAGAAAUUGAAGACCGGUGGGAAGUCAAAGGUUGGGAUCAAUGGUUUUGGUCGGAUUGGAAGAUGGUUUUACGAGUAGCAAUAUUCAGGGAUGAUAUUGACGUGGUGGCAGUGAAUGAUCCUUUUAUUGAUGCUAAAUACAUGGUAAGGAUGUCAAGCUAGC
Molecule: long non-coding RNA, 636 nt
Organism: Humulus lupulus (European hop)
Lineage: Eukaryota; Viridiplantae; Streptophyta; Magnoliopsida; Rosales; Cannabaceae
Exons: 4
Source: RefSeq, a predicted model, not a curated record